GACUCAACGCGGGAAAUCUUACCGGGUCCGGACACACUGAGGAUUGACAGGCAAUAUUAUAAAAAACACUUAUUUCACUCUCGGGUGUUAUAAUUUUUUUAUAUGUUAAAUAUGCUAGUCCUUUCAUGAUUAUGUGAUAGGUGGUGCAUGGCCGUUCUUAGUUCGUGGAGUGAUCUGUCUGCUUAAUUGCGUUUCACUAUUGGGCUUAUAUAAUUACGUAUGCACGCUUUGCGCUUUGACCCCUUUUCUACGGAAUUGCGCGUGUCUUUGUCUCGUUUAGCUCAUACAAUUAAGCCCUGAAAGCAACGAACGUGACCGCAACCUCUUGUUGCUCUCAAUUUUGACUUCGUUUUACCAGACAGUCAUGCUUAUUAUUUGUUCGCACACUCGUGUGCUUCACAUUUUUUAAGUCAAGA
RNAcentral lists this ribosomal RNA (416 nucleotides) under Cassidulina sp. Its description in RNAcentral is "SSU rRNA". It matches the Rfam family "Eukaryotic small subunit ribosomal RNA", at positions 1197 to 1419 of the family's 1831-position model. Lineage: Eukaryota; Foraminifera; Rotaliida; Cassidulinidae. The record is from RNAcentral.